AACACUGUGAACUACAGAUCUAGGUUUAUUAAUUAUUUAAAAUGUUUUCAUUUGAAUGACCAAUUUAAAGGAUUUUCUUAAAGACAAAGAAUAAAAAACUAUUGUUUUUCCCCAUUGAAUUCAAGAUUAAAUUUAGAUGUAGAGCUAGACAUUCUAGAAUCUAGAUCUAGAUUGAAUCUUGAAUAUACGAUAAUCUAGUUCAUUUGUAACAAGAGAAACAGAAAGUUGUAAUUUUAUAAC
Molecule: non-coding RNA, 240 nt
Organism: Biomphalaria pfeifferi
Lineage: Eukaryota; Metazoa; Mollusca; Gastropoda; Planorbidae
Source: the annotation of a GenBank genome assembly